RNAcentral lists this ribosomal RNA (322 nucleotides) under uncultured eukaryote. Its description in RNAcentral is "partial 18S ribosomal RNA". It matches the Rfam family "Eukaryotic small subunit ribosomal RNA", at positions 1470 to 1796 of the family's 1831-position model. The record is from RNAcentral.
CCCUUAGAUGUUCUGGGCCGCACGCGUGCUACACUGAGCGGGCCAACGGGUGAGGAUGUGCGAAAGCGCUUCCCAAUCUCUAAAUCCGCUCGUGCUGGGGAUCGAGGCUUGCAAUUAUCCCUCUUGAACGAGGAAUACCUUGUAAGCACGGGUCAUCAUCCCGUGCUGAAUACGUCCCUGCCCUUUGUACACACCGCCCGUCGCUCCUACCGAUUGAGUGGUCCGGGGAGGCCUUGGGAGGGCUAAGUGGGCUGUGUUUCACAGACUACCUGGCCCGAACCUGGUCAAACCUUAUCACUUAGAGGAAGGAGAAGUCGUAACA